RNAcentral lists this ribosomal RNA (185 nucleotides) under uncultured bacterium. RNAcentral describes it as "partial 16S ribosomal RNA". It matches the Rfam family "Bacterial small subunit ribosomal RNA", at positions 1315 to 1500 of the family's 1533-position model. The record is from RNAcentral.
CCUUCAUGAAGCUGGAAUUGCUGUAAUGGCAGGUCAGCAUACUGCCGUGAAUACGUUCCCGGGCCUUGUACACACCGCCCGUCACACCAUGAGAGUUGGAAAUACCCGAAGCCUGUGAGCUAACUGUAAAGAGGCAGCAGUCGAAGGUAGAGCCAAUGAUUGGGGUGAAGUCGUAACAAGGUAUC